GACGAACGCUGGCGGCGUGCUUAACACAUGCAAGUCGAGCGAUGAAACACCUUCGGGUGCGGAUUAGCGGCGAACGGGUGAGGAACACGUGAGGAAUCUGCCUUCCACUCUGGGAUAACUCCGGGAAACCGGGGCUAAUACCGGAAACUUGCAACUGGCGGCAUCGACGGUUGAAGAAGGUUUUUCGGUGGAAGAUGACCUCGCGGCCUAUCAGCUUGUUGGUGAGGUAAAGGCUCACCAAGGCGACGACGGGUAGCCGGCCUGAGAGGGCGACCGGCCACACUGGGACUGAGACACGGCCCAGACUCCUACGGGAGGCAGCAGUGGGGAAUAUUGGGCAAUGGAGGAAACUCUGACCCAGCGACGCCGCGUGAGGGAUGAAGGCCUUCGGGUUGUAAAUCUCUUUCAGCAGGGAAUAAGCGAAAGUGAAGGUACCUGCAGAAGAAGCACCGGCUAACUAUGUGCCAGCCGCCGCAGUAA
This 480-nucleotide ribosomal RNA is filed under the name uncultured bacterium. Its description in RNAcentral is "partial 16S ribosomal RNA". It matches the Rfam family "Bacterial small subunit ribosomal RNA", at positions 28 to 523 of the family's 1533-position model. The record is from RNAcentral.